CCCCACAUGGAUGCUGCAGAGAGAGAUUGGACAGCACUGUCAUACAGUAGUUGCGUGGUGGAUUCAAAUGGCUUGAUCAGCUGAGAUGUCAUUAACCCGGAGCUCCUCUUCAGCCUCGAGUGGAACCGCUUCUCCUCCUAGCGAACAGGGUUCAGUUUCUGGUGAAGAACAUAUCUUCAACAGGGAUGGAUUUGCUGAGUUGGAGACCUGGGAGGACCCCACUCCUAGGCCAUCACCCUUUACUCUCAAGGAGCUGGGUGAUGCCUGGGUUGCUGCUGCAAAGCGCCAGCUCAUUCGCAGGCCCAAGACACCGCACCAUGAGGAGCUGCUGAGGCGCAGCCAAGAGCAUAACCAGAAGAGUUUGAUAAUAGCGUUGAACGUCUAUUCCAAGCAAAACAAUAUGCAACCUACUGACCUCGAGGUAAUCGAAGUGAAAGCAAGAAACCUAAUCAUCGAGGGGGGGAAAGGGAUACAUACACUUUAACUUUCUUGUGAAAAUGCAAGGUGACCCAUCUAGUUUGUUCUUUGCGGAGGUGCAUCCGGAUUGUAGAGAGGAGGAGGAUGUGUAUCUUUGCACCCCUUUGGAAGCUAAUGACUCGGGUAACUGUUAUGGGUGCAAGGACCGUGCAAAAGAGCUUUUGCAUCCCACUACCGGUGGCUACUUGGGUGGGCACAAAGAUGUUGUUUUCCCCUUCAUUUACGAAAGUGAUGAAGAAAGUGAAGAUGAGGCCUGAUUUCUCUUGGUUUCUUGCGUUAGUCUUAAUCUGAUGUGCUAGUGGGGUUGCGUACGACAAGAAAUAGUGUG
This is a long non-coding RNA of Triticum dicoccoides, 805 nucleotides long. RefSeq lists it as uncharacterized. The transcript has 5 exons. The record is from RefSeq and is a predicted model, not a curated record. Lineage: Eukaryota; Viridiplantae; Streptophyta; Magnoliopsida; Poales; Poaceae.